RNAcentral lists this ribosomal RNA (179 nucleotides) under uncultured bacterium. Its description in RNAcentral is "partial 16S ribosomal RNA". It matches the Rfam family "Bacterial small subunit ribosomal RNA", at positions 1321 to 1500 of the family's 1533-position model. The record is from RNAcentral.
UGAAGCCGGAAUUGCUAGUAAUGGCAGGUCAGCAUACUGCCGUGAAUACGUUCCCGGGCCUUGUACACACCGCCCGUCACACCAUGAGAGUUGGGAAUACCCGAAGCCUGUGAGCUAACAAAUAGAGGCAGCAGUCGAAGGUAGAAUCAAUGAUUGGGGUGAAGUCGUAACAAGGUAAC